UCCUGUUCCUCUGAGACUCCUAAGGGUCAGCAGGCUCACCCACGACGUGACAACCUCUUGUCCAGAUCCUUCUCUUCUCCUCGCGGUUCCCACCAUGUCCUCUCUAGACGUCCGACCCCCACUGAUGUCCGUACCAUAUUGUGCCCUGCCUGCGUUCUCAGGCCACUCGAACCACAACCAGCACUGACAUGGAACCCAAGGUUAAUGACAUGCCAUGAAACAUUUACAUCUCACAAAAAUGUUUCCCCUUCUUUUUUUCUUCUUUCUCCCUGUACAUUCUGUGCUUUUUCCAUCCAGAUGUGAUGUCCAUCUAGCGGGAGGGAGAGUAUGUGUGUGUGUGUGUUGGGGUGUGUGUGGGGGGAGGGGGGGCUCUAUGAGAAGUGGAGCUCCUCGGGAGGGAAGGGAACCAACAGCAUCUGUGAGAGAGGAGAGCUGCAGAGGGGCUUGGCAGGACUUCAAGGCCGAGACAUGAACUGUAACCUCCAUUCUUCAUCCUCUUCUUCUCAAAAACAAGCCCAGUCGAUUGUUCUGUACCGUCUCAAUGUGGACGAUUGUGUUCAUUUCCUGGCUUUGGUUCUUAUGAACUUAUUUGAUAUGGCCCCUAUAGCUUACAUUACAAUUUUAGCAAUAGUAAACCUAUGUAAAUGUAGACGGCAAAAUCUUGUCACUUCGAAAUUUUGUCAAUUCAAAAAAGUGUAAUAAAAUAAUUUUGGACUCAUUUUAUUUAAUAAAAGCAUGCCACUAUUUCUAUUCAAAA
Gadus macrocephalus (Pacific cod) is the source of this 757-nucleotide long non-coding RNA. RefSeq lists it as uncharacterized. The transcript has 2 exons. Lineage: Eukaryota; Metazoa; Chordata; Actinopteri; Gadiformes; Gadidae. The record is from RefSeq and is a predicted model, not a curated record.